RNAcentral lists this unclassified non-coding RNA (4707 nucleotides) under Leishmania donovani. RNAcentral's name for it is "gene:LdHU3.35.3580(CDS-product:hypothetical_prote in_conserved)". Lineage: Eukaryota; Euglenozoa; Kinetoplastea; Trypanosomatida; Trypanosomatidae. The record is from RNAcentral.
UUCUCUGGGAGUUCUAAUGUGAGGCGUCGCUCGCCCUCUUCUCUCUCUCUUGCUUUUUGUUUCUUGCGCUCUCACUUGCACUCAUGCUGGGGGCGCCCUCGCCAGCUGGCAUGAUGCAACACUCAUCAUCGCCGCCGAUGACAGGCACAGCCGUAGAAGCAGCCAUCUACAUGGAUCGCCAUCUCGGGGAUAAAGUGCGCCUCACUCUCGAGAACUGCCUCCAAGACAAGCCGUGCGACCCUAUUAGAUUUUUCGCGCACUCUCUUCGGCAGCUGGCUCAACAGGAUGCCGCCAGCAAUCAGGAGCCGGUGCGUGCUGGAGCACCAGCUGAGCGACUGCAAGCCGAACCUUCUAAACACUUUCAGUUGACGGCCUCACCUUCAGUCCGUCUGGAGAACGGCGUCAAGUAUGAACUGCGUCCGCUGGCACAGGACUUCCGCUGCGCCUCAGGCAUGCCGCCGGCGGCAGAGGCUACCGCGCCGCCGCCCGUUUUUCCAGCCGUACAUUAUCGAGAGGCCAUCCCGUCAUAUGAGGUCGCUUCGUGUCUGCGGCAGCUUCACAUGAUAGAUCCAGUGGCACCACUACUACUUUUCAUCGAGUGCCCUGCUUCGUCUUCUGGUGCUUUUUUCUACCAAGGCGUCGCGUACCGCUGCAGGAACUCCACCGGGAAGCCUGCCGACCAGACGUCGCCGCCACUCAUCGCAGCCUUGCAGGAAGCUCUGGGGGCUGAAAAAGUAGGUGACUUCGACACGGAGAUCCGCGCAGCAGCCGCUGAGGCAGCAGCUGCGGUGAAAGUGAACUUCCUCCGCUCCUUUCAGGGAGACUACCUCUCCAUCUUCGAUACGCUCGAUGACGCGCUGAAAACGGCGACGCAUGUGACAGACGUCUCCACAGCCGACAGCCCCACAAAUCCGCCUCGCUGGACGCUUCCAUCCGUUCUUUUCGUGUCCUACAAGCCGGAGUCAGCGCACCUCACAUACGCACGGUUGCUCGCCAGCUACGGCCCUCUGUACGAAGCCGCGCAGCGAGCAUCCUUACAGGCUUACCGCACCGCCCAGAUGAAGCGGAAACGGACGUACACUUUCGCCUACGCGAGGGAGUACUGGGCGAAGGUGCAGCGGCAGCGCCAUGCAUCCUCCGGUGCACCGCGCACGGUGAACUCGGUGGCUAAGUGGUCCUCCUCCGUUGACUCCAAGACACGCUCUGACCAGCCCACCGGGCCUAUCUCUCUCGGCGACAGUGCGACGCCAAUCACAGCCGCUGAAAAUUUUACUGCUGCAAAACCUGUCAAGCGUGGAUUGUUAACCUACAGUGCAGCGCAUCAGGCGGAGGAUGACGUGUUCCUCAUCGUCGUGCGCCGUCUCGAGCAUGCGGCAGCAACACUCAUUCAGUCUGUUUAUCGCGGCUACCGCAGGCGCCGCAGCUACACGGAGGCGCGCGAGGCGCUUCAUUGCGCCUCAGGCGCAGUCGGCACCAACUCACCUCUCAAAACGAGCCUGAAAGAUGCCAGGAUGUCACAGUCGUCCGAGGACGUCAUCCUGCCGCCCCUCUUGCGCGCCUGCCUCGAGCGUCUUUUCCGCGAAGGUGACGCCUUCGGCUCUCUUUGGGGUGACUAUGUCAUUUCUCCCGCACCGGAGAGCCGGCGCUGCUGGAUCUAUCGGCCAGUCCAACAUCGCGAAGGCGGCGGAGACACCGAGCAGUCGGGCAACGACAGCGCCGCGGGCGAGCACGUUAGGGAAGGCUGGGUGCAGGAGGAGUUGCUGCUCCCGCCGUGGAGGGCGACGCAGCCGCGGCUGCACUUGAACUUGUUUCAGCGCUUGAGAGACUAUCUCGCCCUUGCGCAGUGCACUUCGCUUCACGAGAACGUGCAGCUGCUGAUGGACAGCCCGGGCAUGUCAGUGUUGCAACGUCGAGCCUAUGAUGGAAUCAAGUCAGUGUGCCUCAAUCUGUUUCACGUGGCUUACGCAGAGCUGCGGCAACGUCACCCGAAAGGGCUACCGACGUCGUUCUCUGCCUACAUGCGUCAGAUGCACGGCGCCGUACUUGGGUGGCUCUCCACUCCACACAGGUGCUCCCUGAUUCUUCGGGCGGUGCAAACGACGACCGCCGAUGCAGUCCAGGAUGCACAGCAGGACAACACCCGUAGCCGAGGAGUGUGCAGUAGCCACAGUGCGACAGAGAGGUCGAUGAGUCGUGUUGUGCGCGACCAACUCGCUGCAAACGAGGCCUUGUUGAUAGCCCCGCACUCUCUAUCAGCGAGCGACACUGCCGCGCCUGCGGCGACGCUGGCGGAGCCGACGGUGUUGAGCGUUGCGCCUCAACUCUACAUUUCACAGCAGCCGCUACUCCCCCGAAAUGAGUGGGUUCAAGAAGUGACGGCGCUGCUGCAAAGUACGCGUGACCGCAGCGCUGACGCCCCCUCACCGUUUGUUGAGUGGAUGACCACCGCUAGUUUUCCGCUUUGCUGCGUGGACGGUACACCGGUGGCCGCGGUGCUGCGCCUCGACACGCAGCAGGUCGAGGGUGCUCCGCCUUACGACUCCUUCGUACCUCGCCUAGGGGGUGACACACGACAGCUGACCGGCACGCGCGCUGCGGAAGGUGCCGCCGCCGGCGACAGCGUGGCACCGGCCUCGCUGGCUGUGCAAGCCGCCGCAGCGGUACAGGAGUGGAUGCAGGGUGAUCUUGCAUGCGCCGCAGACGCCGGCCUGAAACACCACAUUCAGGAAAGCCUUUCCACAGAGAGUGGCAUGGUGUACUACAGGGCACGAGUGCGCAAGGACGGCACGGCCACCGAGGCCUUCACAACAGUGUCGCCAUCGGCUACGUUGGUAAGGGAGGUGCUGCGCCAAAACCACAAGGACAGUGCUGCAGAUCCGUGCGAGGGGAGGACUGGUCACGAGGUUAGCACCCCGCCCUCAGAGCUUAGCGGGAGUGUCUCUGCUUCCGCCAACCCGUGGCACUGCUCUGUUCGAAGCAGUGAGGAAUGGGACCCGGUGAUAGGGAAGGUGGCGCAGGAAAGUUCCUCGGCGGCGCGGCGUAGCUGUUCGUGCACUUCCUCCAUCGUCACCACAUCACGAACCAGCGCCGGCGCAUUCAACUCUAGCCGCACGACGGCGGCACGCGCUUCUAUCAAUGCCAGACUUGAGAUGCGCUCUUUGGCUGUCCUGCCGAAUGUCGAGUUAGAGGCAACUGGCGAGCUGUCGAAGCAUGCAUUUCGAGUUCUCACAGCAGACGACGUCGCUAAGGAGGUGAGUGCCGCACUCUCAGAGAGUCCAUUUAAGCACACGCGCGUCUCGAUGCGCUUCUUCGCCGGACCCACAGUCCUCGAACACCUCGAUACAUUUCUUGACCGCGUUGCCGAGGCUCUGCAGAAGGAGGCGCACUCGCCCUCGCUGGUGCUGGCCAUGGACUUGCCGUCGCAGAGCUUUUACGCGCUUGCCGCCGCGCUUCUCGCGUUCCGGCUGCACGACAUGCGUGAGAUCCCCGUCAGGCCCCAUAAAAAGUCAAGAGCAGCACCCGAAGGCUCCCCUAGCGCACAGCUUGGUGGCGUGCCAAGUGACGUACAUGUUCCGUUUCUCUCAGCGUUUCACAACGUGCUAGAGGCGGCGCUGCCCACCCCUUCCGGUUCACGGACGGCGAUGCAGAGCACAGCAGUUCAAACUGCUAUACAGCACGUUUCACACGUCAUGAACUGCGCGCCGCUCCCGCAGCUAAACCUGGUUGCGCUUCUUCGCUCCGCGGUACAGGAGGCGGAAGCGGCAAUCAAGCCGUCGCAUGCCAUCGUUCGCGCAACCCAAUUAGCGGAGCAGUACGCGCUGCUGGUGCUCCUCGACUACUACCUGUGGUCCUCCCAGUCCUGCUUUACACCGGCGGAGCCAUCGCUAGGCAGCCGCAGUGGCAUGGUGCGUAUGGUGGGAAACUGCGCUUUCGCCGCGUUUGUGAGCAGAGUGCCAGCCGCGCUCGAGUGGAUGGCGCACGUUGAUCCGUGGAAGACGUCAAGUCCGGACCCACUGCAUCUGCGGUACUCGAAUGCGCUGCGCCGCUGGGAUGACAAGCACUACGUCUGCUACGGCGCAUUCUAAGUUGCUGGUACCGGGAGCGAUGCGACGGGAUGCGCGGCAUGCGCCGAGUCGUGUUGUGGUAGCGCACGCCCUACGUGCUAACGGCAAGGGAAGAAAAAAAAAAGGAUGUAAAAAAGACAUAUGGAAGCUCUCAUUUUCGUUCCUUUUCGAUGACGGGGCAUGACAGCUGUUUGCUGCGUUGCGCUCGCCGGUUCUUCCUGGCUUGCGCUCCGACGUGGUCUAUCGAUGCGCAUGUUUUGUUUUGUGUGUGGCGCCGUACAUCCAUAUUGUUUCACCGUUCUCUGCGCAUGCAGAGGCGACAGAUGUCCACUUGAUGUUUACUAGGCUCAAUGCUGCAGAGUGGACUUUGUCUCUCUCUCAUCUUGGGUGCGUCUGCGCAAGCCCGGCUGUCGAGUACGUCCAUGCGUGUGUGUGUGUGUGUGUGUCUACUUGAACGGGCUUUGUGGUGCUGUCAAUCCUGUACCCAGAAGGACGGCUUGCAGCGCCACCGGAAGCACCACGUCGUGGAUGCAAGCAUAAGCUGGGCGAAAUGCAGCGAUCCACGUCUGUCUUUUCUGUGUGUGUGCAGCACAAAGGAGCGUGAAUGUGCACGACUGCCUUUCUGCAUUGCUCACUUGCUACU